This 70-nucleotide transfer RNA is filed under the name Bos taurus (domestic cattle). It matches the Rfam family "tRNA". From Rfam's summary of the family: Transfer RNA (tRNA) molecules are approximately 80 nucleotides in length. Their secondary structure includes four short double-helical elements and three loops (D, anti-codon, and T loops). Further hydrogen bonds mediate the characteristic L-shaped molecular structure. tRNAs have two regions of fundamental functional importance: the anti-codon, which is responsible for specific mRNA codon recognition, and the 3' end, to which the tRNAs corresponding amino acid is attached (by aminoacyl-tRNA synthetases). tRNAs cope with the degeneracy of the genetic code in two manners: having more than one tRNA (with a specific anti-codon) for a particular amino acid; and 'wobble' base-pairing, i.e. permitting non-standard base-pairing at the 3rd anti-codon position. The record is from Rfam by way of RNAcentral. RNAcentral also lists the same sequence under 5 other names. Lineage: Eukaryota; Metazoa; Chordata; Mammalia; Artiodactyla; Bovidae.
UCCCAGGUGCUCAGUGGUAAAGAAUCUGCCUGCAAUGCAGGAGACACAGGUUCAAUUCCUGGGUUGGGAA